GCCUCGAUAGCUUAACCCCUAAAGCACUGGUCUUGUAAACCAGAGAUUGGGGGAUAAAACCCCCUCGAAGCU
Molecule: transfer RNA, 72 nt
Filed under: Calyptocephallela gayi (helmeted water toad)
Lineage: Eukaryota; Metazoa; Chordata; Amphibia; Anura; Calyptocephalellidae
Description: tRNA-Thr
Rfam family: tRNA
About the family: Transfer RNA (tRNA) molecules are approximately 80 nucleotides in length.
Source: RNAcentral